GACGAACGCUGGCGGCGUGCCUAAUACAUGCAAGUCGAGCGGAACUGGGGGAGCUUGCUCCUUCCAGUUUAGCGGCGGACGGGUGAGUAACACGUGGGCAACCUGCCCUGCAGAUCGGGAUAACUCCGGGAAACCGGUGCUAAUACCGAAUAGUUUGGCGCCUCUCCUGAGGCGCCACGGAAAGACGGUUUCGGCUGUCACUGCAGGAUGGGCCCGCGGCGCAUUAGCUAGUUGGUGGGGUAACGGCCCACCAAGGCGACGAUGCGUAGCCGACCUGAGAGGGUGAUCGGCCACACUGGGACUGAGACACGGCCCAGACUCCUACGGGAGGCAGCAGUAGGGAAUCUUCCGCAAUGGACGCAAGUCUGACGGAGCAACGCCGCGUGAGUGACGAAGGUUUUCGGAUCGUAAAACUCUGUUGUGAGGGAAGAACACGUACCAACUAACUAUUGGUACCUUGACGGUACCUCACCAGAAAGCCACGGCUAACUACGUGCCAGCCGCCGCGGUAA
RNAcentral lists this ribosomal RNA (512 nucleotides) under uncultured bacterium. Its description in RNAcentral is "partial 16S ribosomal RNA". It matches the Rfam family "Bacterial small subunit ribosomal RNA", at positions 28 to 523 of the family's 1533-position model. The record is from RNAcentral.